RNAcentral lists this ribosomal RNA (575 nucleotides) under uncultured bacterium. RNAcentral describes it as "bacterial SSU rRNA". It matches the Rfam family "Bacterial small subunit ribosomal RNA", at positions 8 to 572 of the family's 1533-position model. The record is from RNAcentral.
AGAGUUUGAUCCUGGCUCAGAGUGAACGCUGGCGGUAGGCCUAACACAUGCAAGUCGAACGGCAGCACAGGAGAGCUUGCUCUCUGGGUGGCGAGUGGCGGACGGGUGAGGAAUACAUCGGAAUCUACUCUGUCGUGGGGGAUAACGUAGGGAAACUUACGCUAAUACCGCAUACGACCUACGGGUGAAAGCAGGGGACCUUCGGGCCUUGCGCGAUUGAAUGAGCCGAUGUCGGAUUAGCUAGUUGGCGGGGUAAAGGCCCACCAAGGCGACGAUCCGUAGCUGGUCUGAGAGGAUGAUCAGCCACACUGGAACUGAGACACGGUCCAGACUCCUACGGGAGGCAGCAGUGGGGAAUAUUGGACAAUGGGCGCAAGCCUGAUCCAGCCAUACCGCGUGGGUGAAGAAGGCCUUCGGGUUGUAAAGCCCUUUUGUUGGGAAAGAAAUCCAGCUGGCUAAUACCCGGUUGGGAUGACGGUACCCAAAGAAUAAGCACCGGCUAACUUCGUGCCAGCAGCCGCGGUAAUACGAAGGGUGCAAGCGUUACUCGGAAUUACUGGGCGUAAAGCGUGCGU